GAUGAAGAACGUAGUGAAAUGCGAUACGUAAUGUGAAUUGCAGAAUUCAGUGAAUCAUCGAAUCUUUGAACGCAUAUUGCGCUCUUUGGUAUUCCGAAGAGCAUGCUUGUUUGAGUAUCAGUAAACACCUCAAAGUCUUUUUUUUUUCUUGAAGAAAAAGACCUUGGACUUGAGCAAUCCCAACUCUUCUUUCAGAAGAGGCGGGUUGCUUGAAAUGCAGGUGCAGCUGGACAUUCUCCUGAGCUAAAAGCAUAUUCAUUUAGUCCCGUCAAACGGAUUAUUACUUUUGCUGCAGCUAACAUAAAGGGAGUUUGACCAUUUUGGCUGACUGAUGCAGGAAUUUCACAAGAGUCUUCAAAACGCUCUUGUUAAACUCGAUCUCAAAUCAAGUAAGACUACCCGCUGAACUUAAGCAUAUCAAUAAGCGGAGGA
This 432-nucleotide unclassified non-coding RNA is filed under the name soil metagenome. Its description in RNAcentral is "partial contains 5.8S ribosomal RNA, internal transcribed spacer 2, and large subunit ribosomal RNA". The stretch from base 1 to 120 matches the Rfam family "5.8S ribosomal RNA", at positions 35 to 154 of the family's 154-position model. The record is from RNAcentral.